This 497-nucleotide ribosomal RNA is filed under the name uncultured bacterium. Its description in RNAcentral is "bacterial SSU rRNA". It matches the Rfam family "Bacterial small subunit ribosomal RNA", at positions 28 to 514 of the family's 1533-position model. The record is from RNAcentral.
GAUGAACGCUAGCGGCAGGCUUAACACAUGCAAGUCGAGGGGCAGCAUGAGGGUUAGCAAUAACCCUUGAUGGCGACCGGCGCAAGGGUGCGUAACGCGUGAGCAACUUGCCCGUUUCAGGGGGAUAACCGGUGGAAACGCCGACUAAUACCCCAUGGUGAUGGUUUGAGGCAUCUCUUUCCAUCUAAAGAAUUUCGGAAACGGAUAGGCUCGCGUGACAUUAGCUAGAUGGCGGGGUAACGGCCCACCAUGGCGACGAUGUCUAGGGGUUCUGAGAGGAAGGUCCCCCANACUGGAACUGAGACACGGUCCAGACUCCUACGGGAGGCAGCAGUGAGGAAUAUUGGGUCCAAUGGUCUGACGACUGAACCAGCCAUGCCGCGUGAAGGCCACGGCCCUAUGGGUCUUAAACUUCUUUGCAAGGGAGCCAAUAAGGUCUACGUGUAGAUCGAUGAGAGUACCUUGCGAAUAAGCAUCGGCUAACUCCGUGCCAGCAG